RNAcentral lists this ribosomal RNA (492 nucleotides) under uncultured bacterium. RNAcentral's name for it is "partial 16S ribosomal RNA". It matches the Rfam family "Bacterial small subunit ribosomal RNA", at positions 29 to 507 of the family's 1533-position model. The record is from RNAcentral.
AGUGAACGCUGGCGGUAGGCCUAGCACAUGCAAGUCGAACGGCAGCACAGUAAGAGCUUGCUCUUACGGGUGGCGAGUGGCGGACGGGUGAGGAAUACAUCGGAAUCUACUUUUUCGUGGGGGAUAACGUAGGGAAACUUACGCUAAUACCGCAUACGACCUACGGGUGAAAGCAGGGGAUCUUCGGACCUUGCGCGAUUGAAUGAGCCGAUGUCGGAUUAGCUAGUUGGCGGGGUAAAGGCCCACCAAGGCGACGAUCCGUAGCUGGUCUGAGAGGAUGGUCAGCCACACUGUAACUGAGACACGGUCCAGACUCCUACGGGAGGCCGCAGUCGGGAAUAUUGGACAAGGGGCGCAAGCCUGAUCCAGCCAUACCGGGUGGGUGAAGAAGGCCUUCGGGUUGUAAAGCCCUUUUGUUGGGAAAGAAAAGCAGCAGGUUAAUACCCCGCUGUUCUGACGGUACCCAAAGAAUAAGCACCGGCUAACUUCGUG